AGAACGAACGCUGGCGGCAUGCCUAAUACAUGCAAGUCGAACGAACUCUUCGGAGUUAGUGGCGCACGGGUGCGUAACGCGUGGGAAUCUGCCCCUUGGUUCGGAAUAACAGUUGGAAACGACUGCUAAUACCGGAUGAUGACGAAAGUCCAAAGAUUUAUCGCCCAGGGAUGAGCCCGCGUAGGAUUAGCUAGUUGGUGAGGUAAAGGCUCACCAAGGCGACGAUCCUUAGCUGGUCUGAGAGGAUGAUCAGCCACACUGGGACUGAGACACGGCCCAGACUCCUACGGGAGGCAGCAGUAGGGAAUAUUGGACAAUGGGCGAAAGCCUGAUCCAGCAAUGCCGCGUGAGUGAUGAAGGCCUUAGGGUUGUAAAAGCUCUUUUACCCGAGAUGAUAAUGACAGUAUCGGGAGAAUAAGCCCCGGCUAAACUCCGUGCCAGCAGCCGC
Molecule: ribosomal RNA, 448 nt
Filed under: uncultured soil bacterium
Lineage: Bacteria
Description: bacterial SSU rRNA
Rfam family: Bacterial small subunit ribosomal RNA
Source: RNAcentral